GACAAAUGAUAAUGAUUAUGAUAAGAAUGAAAGUGAACAAAUAAUCUACUUUCUUAUAAUAAAAAGAUAAUCCACUUACACAUAUUAAUAAACCCAUCUAAAACCUAGAUUAUAAAUUAUCUUCUUGCUCACUUUUAGACACAAAUUAAUUAUAUUAUGUUGUUUUUGGGUAAUGAAUAAGCAGCUAAUUAUUUAGUUAGAAUGACUUUUUUCUAAUUGUCAUCUAUUUAUAUUGUUGGGUAAUGAAUAAGUAGCUAUUUAUACAAAUCAUCUAUUUAUCUUGUUUCAUGAAAAAAUAAUAAUUGUC
Molecule: long non-coding RNA, 307 nt
Filed under: Prunus persica (peach)
Lineage: Eukaryota; Viridiplantae; Streptophyta; Magnoliopsida; Rosales; Rosaceae
Description: long non-coding RNA (PPER_LNC001650)
Source: RNAcentral